AAUCCCCAGAAAACACGCAUGACAAUUAACAUCCUUGCAGAAGACAUUGGGAGACGGCAGGAAAUUUCAAGUAGGAAGUGCACUCGAGGGGAAAAAUAAGCACCUUUUACAAAAAAAGCAAGGUGCUGAUGAGUCUUGGCAUUUGGAUGAAUCAAAAACAACUGGGAUUUUUGAACACUUUAAAGCAGCGAGUUGAGUUCACUGGUGAAUAACUUCAUAUUCCUGAAGUUAAGAAGCCUGCCCUGAUGCUCAUGCAGUUACUUUGAGCAAUGACCAAACAGAGAGAGGAAGAAAGAAGUGUUGAAGAAGAGAGAGACAGAAGAAAAUCACCAUAAAAAGUCAGACACGAGAGCUUAGAAGUCAAUUAAGACAGGGCUUGGAAGGGGCAUUAGGUUUUUGGGGAACCGGUGUUACAUGAAAAAAAAAAACACCUCUGUUUGCAUCUGUAGACAAAGAUCUGUUCAGAAUGGUUGGCUUUGUGAGGUGCUGUGAGACAGAGAUGAAAAAGACAAUCUUCCAAGCCUUAGGAAAAAAAUAUUAACCAACCAUCUCUAGGAAAUUGC
Molecule: long non-coding RNA, 563 nt
Organism: Homo sapiens (human)
Lineage: Eukaryota; Metazoa; Chordata; Mammalia; Primates; Hominidae
Gene: HDAC2-AS2
Product: HDAC2 and HS3ST5 antisense RNA 2
Source: Ensembl